RNAcentral lists this transfer RNA (68 nucleotides) under Marmota monax (woodchuck). RNAcentral describes it as "tRNA.Thr". The record is from RNAcentral. Lineage: Eukaryota; Metazoa; Chordata; Mammalia; Rodentia; Sciuridae.
GGAUUGUGGCUCAGCGGUAGAGCUCUUGCCUUGUAUGUGUGAGGCACUGGGUUCAUGUCUCAGCACCA